AACAUGUCGGCCUUAGCGCGCUCGUCGCAUGCGUAACCAAGGCUCAAACAAGAGCCAUUUUCGGUAUCAGCAUGAGUCUUGGAGAUAAAAUUACAGAAAAACUGUGUUUGGACAUGAUCUGGGAGUAUUAAGAAGGAAUGUUAUUAGUUUUGUGGCAAACCUCCCUGAACUGGUUGCAUGUCCUUUACAAGUUGUCUGCCAUGCCAUGUGUGAGCAUGUGGAAAAUGCUGGUGUCCACAGUGGAGAUGCCACACACAUGCUGCUAACACAGACCAUCACAGAGGAAGCCUUGAAUCUGGAGGAAGAUACCCAGUGAAUACGGAUACGUGGGAUGGCGAUGUACUGGCCAGUGAGGGUGGAGAAACUUUGGCACCGGACCAGGCGCGGCACCUGACUGUCCACACUGCUUCCAAGCACCUUGCAUAACAGCAGGAGGUUGGGACAUCGAGUUCAUCGGGAAGGGACAGGCGGCUUGUCCUCAAAGUCGAGCAAUUCGGAAUAGCAUAUAUACAAGAUACUGGAAAAUGCUAGAUUUUGUUGGACUCUGGAGGGACAGGAGAUACCUGGAUAGAAAAACCGCUUUGGCAGAAGGUGAAUGGGUGCUGUGCCACAGGCGUGAAGUGAUGCCCACUUGCGUCAUGCAAAAAGUACGAACACUGUACCCAAACCCAGAUGCAGUGCCGUAUGUCGGUCACCAAUGGGAAUGAAAAAAAAAACAAAACAAAAACAAAAACAAACAAACUAAACGAGAGGAAUUAAAACUAAGUUUAAAAAUU
Molecule: long non-coding RNA, 776 nt
Organism: Pomacea canaliculata
Lineage: Eukaryota; Metazoa; Mollusca; Gastropoda; Architaenioglossa; Ampullariidae
Exons: 2
Source: RefSeq, a predicted model, not a curated record